This is a long non-coding RNA of Onychomys torridus (southern grasshopper mouse), 3734 nucleotides long. RefSeq lists it as uncharacterized. NCBI's taxonomy places the organism in Eukaryota, Metazoa, Chordata, Mammalia, Rodentia, Cricetidae. The record is from RefSeq and is a predicted model, not a curated record. The transcript has 5 exons.
UCUAUAAAAAUAAAAUCAGUGUAGUGUAUUUGUAUAGCAAAUCUGUUGAUAGAUUUGUUCAAUUUGCUAUUGUUAAGACAUUCUGAUCUUUUUGGGAUAUCGGUCCCUUCUUUACAUGGUCUGAAGAGAGCUCUGCCCAUGCCUGCAUCACAUUUUCUGAAAGUCAUCUCUUUCCUCAGAUAAUGCUGGGUAGUCUGAGUUUCAGACACUAAGGUCUUCAUUCUAAAGGAACAGUAAGUGCUGGAUUGGCUGAUAUUUGGGGGUUUAUCUUUGAAAACUGGAUAAGAACCGAGGAUAAGACUCAAGAGUUGUUUUGUGGGGUCCUAUUUAGAGCAUACACUUUGGAAAAAGUGAUUUGGAAUGUAGCUUCUUUCAUUUUUGUGGGGGGAAAAGGCCAUUAAAUAUUAUCAGGGACCUCAUUGCUUAUGUCCUGAUGAAUCUUUUUUCUUCCCCCUUAAACUCCCUGGCACAACUGCCCACACUGUGUCCCACACUCAGUCUCUCUUGAAGCAGUGGGACUUCAAGUGGCUCCCCAGCAGUAAUGAGUUUGUGUGGAUUUACCUACCCUGUCCCAGCCUCACUGUUCAGCCUGGCUAGUACUUCAUUCAUACCCACAUCCAGUUGGGUUGGUUGGCCCCGACACAGAAGGGUGUUCACCGAGCGCUGCAGGAAUGAACAUUGUAUUCUCAGCUGUGCCAUAAUAGCCCACUUCUUUCUCUGCCUUGUGUGAUAAACAUUUUUCUUGAAUCUGUUAUGAGCAGGUACUGAGCUGAGAGUUGGGGAACCAAAGACGGGUAAGAAUUAUGCUGGCCUUGUGGUGUGGGUGGGUAAGCCAACUCCAGCAUAAAUCAGAGGACCUGCCUACAGAAGUAUUUUGUUUGACCUUUGCAAUGUUUUAUAAACGUUUGAAUAGUUUCCAUGGGACACAGCCUUGAGUUCCCCACAGGUCUCCCACACCCUGCCCGAAUCCCGCUGGAGCUGGUGACCUAUGAAGUCUGCUGUGAUUGCAGUCUAAACACUAUCCCCUGAGACGCCACAAGCAGAGGGCUGGCUCACUGGAGGUUGAAGGUCAGACAUGGAAAUAAACAUGCAUGGAAGGUCCUAAGUCUAGUGUCGCCUAGGGGCCUUGGGAGGCUUCAGCAGGCAUGGUGAGUGUUACCACCAAACCUUCUUGGGAAUAUUUUAGUGAAGUUGGAAUAGACCACAUUCAUACUCAGCUUGUCAAAUUUGGCCUGUGCUGUGAGAUUCCUAAGUGACCCUUUGUCAGUGGUUCUUGAUGGUUGAUAGGACUCUGCACACAGUGUGCCUGCCUCCUGUUACAAGAAGUAUAUGUCCUACAUUCUGAGAUAAAUACUGGGUAUAUGCAACUUUUUGUUUUGUUUUGGUUCUCAUAUAUCAGGGAUAUAGAACUUUCAUUUAUUGAAGAUUAACUAACAAAAUCUUCCAGGUAGUUCCCAAACAAAACCUGAAAACCAGAAACAGGCGCAGCAGCAGUUCUUGACGUGUGGGUUACAAACUCUGUGGGGGUUGAGCCACCCUGUCUCAGGGGCCACAUAUCAGAUGUCCUGCAUAUCAGAUACAAUUCAUAACAGUAGCAAAACUAUAGUUAUGAAGUAGCAGUGAGAAUAAUUGUAUGGUGGGGCACCAUACCAGGAGGAACUGAGUUAGAGGGCUGCGGCGUUAGGAGGGUGGAGCCCCGCUGCCCACAGAGAAGGCCUCGCCGUCGCCGGUAUGCACGGGUCCUAGUACAACCACUUUAGCCCAUGUCCAGUAUGUGUGUCCAUCGGUUUAUGUUCUCAUGCUGUCAGACUCAGACAUGCUACUUCAGAACCAGCCUGUGCUGCCAUCCCUCCAAUUGGAAUCUCUUGUUACCCAGCAUCCCAUGGAUGAAGAGAUUUCCUCUACCCUGCCCUCUGAAUCCAUCACUAAUUUCAUAUUGGCUUUUCCAGGAAGAGCAGCACUGUAGCAAUAUUUUCAAAACAUUACUUUCCAUGACAUGAGGAGCCCAGAUGUGGGGACACCUCCCCAUCCAGAUGUUGCAUGUAAGACAUUCACACCCUACUACACACAUCUCAGCUUCUAGUUCUCCUUUCUGUGUGUGGCUUGCUGGAUGCUAAGCCGUGAGCUGUAGCUCGUUUGCCCCAUCUGCAUGCCCCGCGGCAGUCUACCUCUCUCAGGUAUCUAGUGAUUCUAAUGAUGUCCUGGGUUGUUCAUGGCUCUCCUCAGUGUAUUCCAUCAGCACCUUGCCUUGUGCUGUCAGAGGUGAAUGAUUCCUUUUGUCCUCCUUUCCCCAAACCUGAUAUCCACAGCCACCCCAGACCAGGCCUCCACAUCCCCUCCCCCCCCAAGAUCUCGGCUUGUCCUGGUAGGGAUUCUGAGUUCUUGUUUUCAGAGAACAUUUUUCUGUCUUAAUGCCUUCUGGAGGUUGUUCCUGAAAAUCCUGACCUUGGCAUCCAUAGAACAGAGCACCAGGGCAAGCAUCAUCAGCCCCAGGAGUUGUUGGUACAGGCUCUUCUCCGAAUGAAAUGUCUGUGUGCAAUGAGUGCUAAGAGCAGCAGGGCUUUCUUCCAUUCAAGGCUGAAGAUGUUGCCAGUGCUCACUGCCCUUCGGAAACAGAUGUGCUGAUCGGGGUUCCUCUGGUCAUACCCAGGAGACGAGUUCAUGAGGGCUUCUCUUGUCAGUGAGCUGGAGGCAUCUGGAAUGAAUUGGUUUACUUCCAUGGAUGUGCAUCAUGAAACAGGUGUCCCUGCUACCUCCCCACCAUGAGCUGUGAGUGGCAGAGUCUCUGCUGUUGGUCUCCUGCUAAAACUAGCCAAUCAAGUGUCUGAGAUGGUGCCUGGCUUCUGCCAUGAGGAGAACCAAGGGAACCAGGCUGAGCUGCUAUGGCGCCAUCCUGACAGGGAGUUGGGGAGACACCCAGGCUUGGGUGUCUGUCUGAAGACUGGAUGAUGGUGCUGGGAAUCAGCAGAGACUGAACAAAGCAGAGGAAGCAGGAGCUGUGAUUAGAAGCACAGGUACAUCUCGGACACACCUACUUCAGAGGGUGUCUGGAUGCCAGCCUGGAAUACAUCAGCAUCCGCACCCUGUGUCGGCGUCCUCUAAGGUGGGGAAGCCUCUGGUUUCAGAGGGAUUCUCAAGUUUGCUGUGGCUUAGGUGACUGCAUUGCCAGCUCAGGUACAGAGUAUCAGCAUGCACUCUCCCUCUCCGAAUUCCUGGCAAUCAGCAUUUUGUGAGUCUCACGGCUGCUCGAUGAUGAGGCCUUUUCAUCUCCCUUCCUAGAUUCAAGCUCUUUGGAACAAAGACCAGAUUGUUCUAGAGUCCUGGAUAUAGUGCUGGACAAGACACGCUGUUCUUUGGGUGCAUGUUUUUGGUGAAAAGGUCAUGGAAGAUGUAUCCCUGGGUCCUGGGGUUACAUGUGGGAAGUUACCUGCUUGGGAAGGGUUGUUGAUCCUAAUGCCAGGACCAGAGACUUAUGUUUACCUAGCAUCCAGCUAUCAAGGGAAAUCAAGACAACAUGGCAAAUCAUAGGCCACAAAGCAGAUAGCUUGUGAACUUACUGAUUAUUCAGUAAAUUCUGACGUUGUCAAAAGACACACAAGUAUUCAUAUGUUUCUGACAUAAAAAGAUCUUCUCUUCUUACAGUCAAACCCUCCAGCUGGAGCAAGCCCUGAACCAUUUUUAUCUGGGGUGAGUUGUGAUGUAUUGAAGACAAGAAGGGCCAUUGCUUCAGUAGG